UACAGGUUGGUAUGUUCACAAAAAUUGGUUCGCUCUCUUAUUUUACAUCUCACCAUUCCAUCCCAGAUGAGAAGCAAUUUUGUUCGAAUGGGAAUCCAACGUAUAACUCAGAAGGCGAAAUGUAGCAAUUUCUGGGGAUGCUAAGAUUCAUUUAAAGAUUGUUGGUAGACGUGUAGUCGCUGCUGAUUUCUUUAAUUUGUUAGUCCAUUUCUAUUUGUAACCCGGAUACUGGUUCAAAACUGUUUAACUACAAUAUAUUAUACUUGUGCAUUUUAUGGGCAAAAUACAUGUAAAUUAAUUGAAUUUAAACAUAAAAUGCUGUGAACUGGAUUUAUUAAGCAAAAAGUGCAA
Non-coding RNA from Bactrocera oleae (olive fruit fly), 351 nucleotides. NCBI's taxonomy places the organism in Eukaryota, Metazoa, Arthropoda, Insecta, Diptera, Tephritidae. The record is from RefSeq and is a predicted model, not a curated record.